AUAUUGUUAAAUAAGAAAUGCAUUAUGUUCUGUUAGCCCUAAAACAAUAGCUACUCUCUUUUCUAGUUAAAACUUUAGUGUUUUUAAGCAUUUAAACAGAAAGUGCUGCACUUAUGAAACCAAACAUUUUUCUGGAGACAGUGGGGUUGCUGGGAAAAAGUUAUCUCCUUUGCAAUCAUCAAACAUCAUCUCAUUGUAAAUGCAUGAUGGGAGAAAACUCAGCCCCGUACAGAGAGUUUGAUCAGAAUUGGUUCUACAGAGGUUGGAAGGCCUGACAGCAGCCCUGACCUCAAUUACAUUGAAUUGUCUUUUUGUUGUUUUGUUUCUUUGAUAGCAGACAUUCUGAUUUGUCACAAAUCUUGGUUAAACACAGUGAUGCCAUCUCACAGAAGUCUUUGGCCAGGCUGGUCAAACACUGAAGCCAAACGAAAGAAACAGUUUGUGAAAAUAAAAGAAUUCUCAGUUAUUCAGAAACAGAAGUCUAGGAGUUAUUUUUUUACUCUAAGCUAUCUUUUAUCCCUCACAUUAAACAUGUGGUUAAAUUGUUUUUUUUAAAUCAUAUUAUAAAUUUAGCUAGGGUCCGCCCACUUCUCCCUCUUGCUAACAUGGAGACGCUGAUGCGUGCUUUUAUCCUCUGCUUGCAGAGCAUCAAGAACAUUAACAUUAUUACUGAGAGGUGUAAAGCACUUUGUAUUGUGUUCCAUAAGAAAAGUGCUAUUUUAUGGAAGUUUUCUGUAGCAUAAUUAAAAAUAAAAGUCAAUACCAGAAAUGCUUUUUCAAAAUGAAGCUCCACUCUACAGAAAAAUGUCCAUACUAUUUAACUUCAGAUUUGAUUUGAUGUGAUUACCAUGAGGGAAUGUCAGACUGUUGUGACUGUGAUACUUUAUCCAAACAUUGCUGACACUCCAGUUUUUAUGUUUGUUUGUUUUUAUAAUUGCAUUACAAAAGCUUCUUCCAUUAGGAAAACAUAUGUUUCAUUUUCAGACAGAAUUGCAGGAGUGUCUAUAUUUUAGUCCAUGAUUGUAGGUUUGCAUGGCUUUGAAAGUUACCCAGUAAACUAAUGUAUAAUGUGCAUAAUGUCCUCAGAGGGAUCCUCCACAUCAGUGACUAACCCUUCUCAGUGAACCGGGUCGCUGCAAUGGGAUCUCCAGGUGGAUUCAUCAGAAUGGAGGGGAGCAGGGAGCUUGUGGCCUGCCGUUAUCAGUUGCUGCAUCGCUCAGUGUAACGGUAGAGGUUCUAUCAAGCUGACUCUGUAAUGGUUACCACCAAAAAUAACUGUUUCUAUCCAUGACAGCAAGCUUGAAAACAUGUGAAUUUAUUUAACAGGUUGUUAUUCAAGUUGACAUUUGUGGUCAUGUUUUGUCUGUCGUCAUCUCAUUGGAUGAACGGGACCAGCUGACAAAUGACAGCCAGGUGUCAGGGUGACACACCUACUUUUUUAAGUGACGCGGGUGCGCGAAAAAGAAGGACAGCUGUUGGCAGACCAGGAGUGCGGAGGAGCAAGCGAGUCUCGUACUGUGGAUUACCUUUCUGGCUACGUUUUGGAUUACCCCAGACAUUACAAUUCCUGGCGGAGUAUUGUUUCCCAAAAGGCUCGGAUCGUUCCGGUAUGAGGAUCAGCGGCGGGCUCUUUGAUAGGUGGAACGCAUUCCAGCGAAUGAGGCGGAGCAGCCUCCCACCAAACGCGUGAGACUGGCAAACAUUUUUCUUUUCUUUUCUCAUCAGACUGCGGGAUUUGGGAUUACACUUUGGUUUUGUGAAUAUUAUGGACUUCGGGAAAUCAGUUUUUUGUACAUUGAGUGAUGAAUGUGAUGGUUAAUUGAGAAAAAGGUUCAUACACUCCUAGAAUACACGGCUGCCGUAGGACGGCGUUGCGACAUUCCCCUCAGAGAGUGGAGGGUGGUCUGUUACAACUCAGUGUGGAAUUAACAAAUAACGUGUCCUUCAUUACUGAUAACAUUAAAUGAGAUCAUAAAGGACCUAAAUCCA
Molecule: long non-coding RNA, 1989 nt
Organism: Oryzias latipes (Japanese medaka)
Lineage: Eukaryota; Metazoa; Chordata; Actinopteri; Beloniformes; Adrianichthyidae
Source: RefSeq, a predicted model, not a curated record